GAGUGGCGAACGGGUGAGUAACACGUGGGUGAUCUGCCCUGCACUUCGGGAUAAGCUUGGGAAACUGGGUCUAAUACCGGAUAGGAGCCAUCUUUACUGUGGUGGUUGGAAAGUUUUUUCGGUGUAGGAUGAGCUCGCGGCCUACCAGCUUGUUGGUGGGGUAAUGGCCUACCAAGGCGGCGACGGGUAGCCGGCCUGAGAGGGUGUACGGCCACAUUGGGACUGAGAUACGGCCCAGACUCCUACGGGAGGCAGCAGUGGGGAAUAUUGCACAAUGGGCGCAAGCCUGAUGCAGCGACGCCGCGUGGGGGAUGAAGGCCUUCGGGUUGUAAACUCCUUUCGCUAGGGACGAAGCUUUUUGUGACGGUACCUAGAUAAGAAGCACCGGCUAACUACGUGCCAGCAGCCGCGGUAAUACGUAGGGUGCGAGCGUUGUCCGGAAUUACUGGGCGUAAAGGGCUCGUAGGUGGUUUGUCGCGUCGUCUGUGAAAUUCUGGGGCUUAACUCCGGGCGUGCAGGCGAUACGGGCAUAACUUGAGUGCUGUAGGGGUAACUGGAAUUCCUGGUGUAGCGGUGAAAUGCGCAGAUAUCAGGAGGAACACCGAUGGCGAAGGCAGGUUACUGGGCAGUUACUGACGCUGAGGAGCGAAAGCAU
Molecule: ribosomal RNA, 655 nt
Filed under: uncultured Actinomycetales bacterium
Lineage: Bacteria; Bacillati; Actinomycetota; Actinomycetes; Actinomycetales
Description: bacterial SSU rRNA
Rfam family: Bacterial small subunit ribosomal RNA
Source: RNAcentral